UUUUUUUCCCUGCCCGUCUCUGCGUCUGUCAUGUGCCUGGGAUGUGCUCAUGCUUUUGGCACAGAGCGGCCGUUGCACGCCGCCUGAUGCGGGUUACAAAGUGGCAGCACCAGUUUUAAAGUCCCCCCUUGCCCCCCCUCUCCCUCCCCCUUUAAGCAACCAACAAGCCGACCAACUACCCACCAACCCAGCAUAUUUAAACGCCUGGGAUUUUUAGUUGCUCUCCCCCCUCCCCCUCCCCCCUCCCACCUCCAAGAGGAACAUUUACCUACACAUCAUACCACGAUACACACGGACCUCGUUGUUCUUCUGCUUCUGGCGCCUUGGACACUUUCUGAUUCCCUGGCAGUCAUCUGGCUGGACCGCGAAGAACAGUAGUGGAGAAAUGGAGCAACAGGCAGCUGCAGGACGCAGAGAGAGGAAGCCAUCACAGAAUCGGGGAUUUUGAUUUUCACUGGACCUGUACAAGGUUGCUUGACCAUCAUGACCCUUAAGUGACCAAACCUUCAACACUGAAGACAUAAAAAGUAUGCAUGUAAUCUCUAAGGUGGAGAGUUCAAAUGAAGAAGCGAAGAGGCUGAUUUUCCACAAGAGGAAGAUUUGAGAUUCACUGCACUCUUGUUUUGCAUCAAAGUAGCAGGACAUUGAUCAAGUUUAGCAUCACCAAACAAUCGAGCAAUGCUUUUGUUUGAGAUGAAAUUUUUACAAGCCAAACAAUUCACGAAUGGGUGAAGUAGUGUAAUAGAACACCAGACCCAAAAGUAAUGACAUACAUACGCUGCUAAAUGUUUGUAGCUAUGUCAUGUAUUAAAAGUUACAUUCACAAAAUGAUAGUAAUACUGUGGUCAAUAAAUGUGAAGAGUUUGGUGUGAGCACUGGGGCAAUUAGAAUAUGCUUAUGUAAAGUGUCAACAAGAACUCCCCCUAAAAAUCAGUUGAAAAAACAAUAUAGGCUGAAGAGGAGCAUGUUUACGGGCCAAAAGAAAAAUGGCACAAAAUUUUGAAAAUAACUUUUUAUUGUUGGAUCUAGGUCACACAGAAGGUUUGUCAGACGAACCCAAAAUACUGAAUGUAAGCUAAGGUGCAUCAGUUUACAUCACACCCUAAUUACAAUACAAAUUGCAUUUAAGAGUCAAAAAUGUAAUUUUUUGUUGUUCCAUUAAGCACAUAGAUAGAUAGUAUUGCGUUUCAGGGCUUUUUGAGUCACUACGUAACUAAUCUCAGUCAUCUGUGCUGAUUAGUUUGACAGGUGAGCUCAAUUAAAGGAAAAUUAUUUAAGAAAGAUUUUCCACAUUAAAGCAGGCCCAGGUUUGAAGCAAUAUUGGAAAGAGCAAGGCUUGCUCUGCUGUUGAAAAGCAUCAGAUAGUACAGUGCCUUGGAACAGGAAUGAAAACAUUAGCUAUUUCACAAAAACUGAAGCGUAAUCAUUCUACCAUGAAGAGAUUUGUGGCUGAUUCAGAGCACAGAUGGGUUUGUGCAGAUAAAGGCAUAAUGAGGAAGAUUUCUCUUAGACAAAUUCAUUGAAUAAAGAGAGCAGCUCCUAAAAUGCCAUUACUAAGCAGCAAACAGUUAUUUGAAGCUGCUGGUGCCUCUGGAGUCUCUAUGGAGGAUCCUCCAUAGGUUAGUUAUUAAACCUACUAUUCGGCCAACCCUAACCAGUGUUCACACGCAGAAAUGGUCGCAGUGGGCCCAGGUGGGCAUGACGAUUAAUUUUCAAACAGACUUGUUCACCCUGGAUGGUCCAGAUGGAUGCAGUAGUGGAUUGGUGGUGGAUGGCCACCGCAUCCCGACACGGCUGUGACGUAAAAGCGAGGAGGUGGAGGAGUCAUUUUUUGGCUCAAAAUCAUGGGGAAAGAAUCAUUGGUCAGCCCCUUCAGAUUCCCUGAAGGUGUGAAAAUGACAUCAGCAAAGUAUAUGGACUUUCUGACUGAUCACUUUCAUAGUUCAAAAACCUUCAGUAGCAAAAUCAUCCUCAUGCAUGACAAUGCACCAUCUCAUGCUGCAAGGAAUAUCACUGUGUCAUUAGCUGCUAUGGGCAUAAAAGGGGAGAAACUCAUGGUGUGGUCACCAUCCUCCUCUGAACUGUGACCCUAUUGAGGACCUUUGGAGUUUCCUCAAGCAGAAGAUGUGAUGGUGGGAUGGAGUUCAUAUCAAAACAGCAGCUCUGGGAAGGUUUUCUGACAUCCUGCAAAGAAAUUCAAGCAGAAACUCUCCACAAACUCACAAGUUCAAGGGAUGCAAGAAUUGUGCAGGUGAUAUCAAAGAAGAGGUCGUAUGUUAACAUGUAACUCAGUCUGUUAAGAUGUUUUUGAUUGAAAUAGCUUUUGAUUUUAGUACAUGUGACCACUUAAUUCUGCACAUUCAAAUAAUAACCGAUUGAAGUUCUUUAUAAUCCAUAAAAUGUUUUUAAAAGUUGUUGUGCAUAAUAAUUUGGAACAGUGCAUUUUGAGUUUUUUUAUUUAAAAAAAAAUCCUGUAGUCAUUGGGAGGUUUAAAUAAAAUGCGAUGUAGACUAUACCCUAAAUGUUCAUGACUUGAAAAUUAUACUGACCAUCAUUUGUAUAAAUUGAUCAUUUAUACAAAUUUGAAAAAAAAAUCACUUGCCUAAUAAAUGCUAUGAUGUAAAUACAUCAUAGCAUUUGACGAUGUCCUAUUUGAUCAUGUCUGCAUUGAAAUGCCAUUAGAAUUAGCAAUUUUACCAACUCAACCAACUCAACUGAGCUGCAUUUUGGUUCUAGACAAAUACAACUAUGGCUACAAAAUACCUAGCCUAAUCCUGGGACAUUUAUUCACCAGAAAACUUGUGAGGUGACUUCAAACAUGCUAUUUCUGAGGCAAAACGAAGAAAAGCAAAGACUUGUCUAAGGCUGAGUAUAUAAAGUAGGUCCCAGAAAGUGACUUUACAACUAACUAGCCAAUUGUUCAUCAAACUAGAAAUCAAAAAUAAGAAAUUUAAAAAAAAUUCCCUUUGCUCUAACAGGAUUCAGUCUGUUUUUCACAGAACAAAAUCUUCUGAAAUGCAAUGAAAAACAUUUCUUUCGUUAAUACAUGAUUGAUAUAGAAAUGAUUGGGAUGAUAAAGUAGAAUUUUUUGACAGGUAAAUAAAGAUUUCCUUUCAUUUAA
Long non-coding RNA from Poeciliopsis prolifica (blackstripe livebearer), 3121 nucleotides. RefSeq lists it as uncharacterized. The transcript has 4 exons. The record is from RefSeq and is a predicted model, not a curated record. Lineage: Eukaryota; Metazoa; Chordata; Actinopteri; Cyprinodontiformes; Poeciliidae.